UACAUAUUUUCUCCGUCCGGAAAUACUUGUCAUCAAAAUGAAUAAAAGGGAUGUAUCUAGACGUAUUUUAGUUUGAGAUACAUCUCUUUUUAUCCAUUGUGAUGACAAGUAUUUUCGGAUAGAGGGAGUAUAUA
Molecule: non-coding RNA, 134 nt
Organism: Triticum aestivum (bread wheat)
Lineage: Eukaryota; Viridiplantae; Streptophyta; Magnoliopsida; Poales; Poaceae
Source: Rfam